UGAGGUAGAUGGUUGUAUGGUA
Molecule: microRNA, 22 nt
Filed under: Eisenia fetida (common brandling worm)
Lineage: Eukaryota; Metazoa; Annelida; Clitellata; Crassiclitellata; Lumbricidae
Description: Efe-Let-7-P13_5p (mature (guide))
Source: RNAcentral